Long non-coding RNA from Canis lupus familiaris (dog), 664 nucleotides. RefSeq lists it as uncharacterized. The transcript has 4 exons. The record is from RefSeq and is a predicted model, not a curated record. Lineage: Eukaryota; Metazoa; Chordata; Mammalia; Carnivora; Canidae.
GGCAACCUCAAAGCCAUGUGCUGAAGAUGGCAAAGAACACUAUGGAAGAAGCCUGAGCCCCUGAGGAUCAAUCUUUGUUCAGAGAACCAUUUGAAAAUCAUCACCCUAAGAUGACAUAGGGAUUUUUCAAGAGCGUGGCCAGUCAUGGAAACAUGGACUAAAGGAAAAACAGAGGCCAUCAUUGGUUAUGUCUACCUCAGUAUCACCCGAGGAAGAGAAGAGAGAGAGGCAGAGACACAGGCAGAGGGAGAAGCCGCCUACAUGCAGGGAGCCCAAUGGGGAACUUGAUCCCGGGACCCUGGGAUCACGCUCUGAGCCAAAAGCAGAUGCUCAACCGUUGAGCCACCCAUGUGUCCCUCCACAUGGUCUUCAACAUUAAGGAGGUUUCAACUAAAGCUGUCAUGUAAAGAAACUUGGAGAGAAGUUGUGGAGAAAGAAACAUCUAAUCAGCCCCUUAUUGUUCUGGCCACUCAUGCUGAGUGAAGCCACCUUCAGACUUGUCAGUGAAACCAUCUUGAAUGUUCUAGUGCACGCCAAGCUCAUACUUGAAUUUAUCUGCGUGAGUGAUCCUAGAUACCACCACAUGGACCAUAAGAACCACAAGGGGAGGAGCUCAGCCAAUGCCCAGAACUGUGAGAAAUAAUACAUGUUGAUUUUUAAACUA